RNAcentral lists this long non-coding RNA (1826 nucleotides) under Homo sapiens (human). Its description in RNAcentral is "HSALNT0036006". Lineage: Eukaryota; Metazoa; Chordata; Mammalia; Primates; Hominidae. The record is from RNAcentral.
CCGGGCGGGGGGCUGACACCUUCUUUUCAGUUUUAUGAAAAUAAUUAGAUGUUUUAGGAACAUGAAAUUACUAGCUUUCCAGCUAAAAUGUUCUCAAAUCUACAAAAUACAGAGCUACAUAAACAUGAAACCACUUUUGAUAACGUCAGUCAUAAAGACUUGAACUCAGACUUCUCUCUCUUUUUUUUUUAUUUAAUUAGAUCUUGGGUUCAGAGUUGAAUUAAUGAUUAUCCUCAGUUCACGACCCACUAAGACCUUACCAGGUCCCUCUUUUGUCUCAUUUAAUUUUUAUUUUCCCCUUUGUUCUUCAUCUCUACUCUUCUUCCUUCCCUAGCUAUCCAACACACACACACACACACACACACACACACGCGCGCGCGCGCGCGCGCCCUUAGUUAAAAAUUGUAUUGGUCAUUGAGUCACUAGAUUCAGUAUGUUUGUUCUCUUCACUUGGCAAUUUGUUAGAAUGGCUAACUUAGUAACUUAAUAGUUAAAUAAGCAAAUCAGCUUAGUCCGCUUCCUGUUUGUUUAAAACCAUCCUGCAUGUCUUCACAAUUAACUUCUUUGUGCGUUUCAUGGUUUCCUGUGUUCUCAAAAACAAGUUAAUGAUAUACAGUAACGUAUAUCAUUUGAAAAAGCAGUUUCUUUUUCAAAAUAAGAAGCCCAUUCUUCCUUAUUCAAGAUUGUUACAACUCUUAUUCGAGAUUCGAGAUUGUUACAACUCUGCCUCAUGAGAGGGGAGAAGCGCCUGUCACCCUGACCCGCCCCGGCCAGGCUGGCUGGGUUGCAGGUGGAAGUGGGUAGGACUGUGUUUCACGCUGAGUAGGUUGUGUGCAAAACACACUUUUGACUCCAUAAAAGCAUUUUCUUUUUUGGGUGUUCGGCGGGUGGACAGAGUGUAGUGGUACAAUCUCGGCUCGUUACAACCUCCGCCUCCCAGGCUCAGGUGACCCUCCCACCUCAGCCACCCAAGGAGCUGGGGCCACAGGUAAAAGCCACCACGCCUGGCUAAUUUUUGUAUUUUUUGUAGAGAUGCGGUUUUGCUGUGUUGCCCAGGCUGGUCUUGAACUCCGGCUCAAGCAAUCUGCCCGCAUCGGCCUCCUAAGGUGCUUACAGGUACCGUUCCCCAGCACACCCCACCCCACUCAGCCGCUCAGCCUCCCUCAGUUACCCAGACCGCACAGACGUCUCAACUGCAGCAACCUUGGCAGGCAGCAGCAACCAGUUUGGCAGCUCUGUCCUGGGCCAGUACAUCUCUGACUUCAGCGUCCGGGCACUCGUGGACUUGCAGUACAUCAAGGUGAGUGCCUCACUGCCCUGUCUGGGCAGUGCUAUCUUCUGCUCAGGAAUCAGCUACUACUUUCAUCCACCAAACCCAGCAUGGUGGGCCCAAACCCGAGAUGCCUUUUUCUUCUGGAGAUGGGGUCUUGCUCUGUCGCCCAGGCUGGAAUGCAGUGGUGUGAUCAUAGCCCACUUCAGCCUUGAACUCUUGGGUUCAAGGAUUCCUCCCACCUCAGCCUCCUGAGUAGCUGGGACUACAGGUGUGCAUGUGGCUUCGGGUUUUUUUUUUUUUUCCCCUUAUAGAGAUGGGGUCUCACUGUGUUGCCCAAGUUGGCUUGAGACUCCUGGGCUCAAGCGAUUUGCCCGCCUCAGCCUCCUGAAGUGCUGGGAUUACAGGUGUGAGCCACUGUGCCCAGCCCUGAGAUGCUUUCUUCUCUUGUUCGUGCACCUUGUUCUUUGUAAGGGCUUCCAGAGACGCUGACUGGUCAUGUUCUCUCUCAACUCACAGCCUCAAUCCUGGCCCUGUUUCUCCAGGCCUGGUGAUA